UACGUAGGGUGCGAGCGUUAAUCGGAAUUACUGGGCGUAAAGCGUGCGCAGGCGGUUCGUUGUGUCCGUCGUGAAAGCCCCGGGCUUAACCUGGGAACUGCGAUGGAAACUAGCGAGCUGGAGUGUGGCAGAGGGGGGUGGAAUUCCGCGUGUAGCAGUGAAAUGCGUAGAGAUCAGGAGGAAUACCGAUGGCGAAGGCAGGUCCCUGGGCUGACACUGACGCUCAUGCACGAAAGCGUGGGGAGCAAACAGG
This 253-nucleotide ribosomal RNA is filed under the name uncultured bacterium. Its description in RNAcentral is "partial 16S ribosomal RNA". It matches the Rfam family "Bacterial small subunit ribosomal RNA", at positions 524 to 776 of the family's 1533-position model. The record is from RNAcentral.